Anolis carolinensis (green anole) is the source of this 5135-nucleotide long non-coding RNA. RefSeq lists it as uncharacterized. The record is from RefSeq and is a predicted model, not a curated record. NCBI's taxonomy places the organism in Eukaryota, Metazoa, Chordata, Lepidosauria, Squamata, Anolidae. The transcript is spliced from 6 exons.
GGGUUUUUUUUAAAAAAAUGGAGAAUAUAAGGCACUAUCAAAUAUAAGGCACAACACAUUUUGAAGGCUCUUCAACAGUAACAACUGUGCCUUAGAUUCAAAGAAAUAAAGUAUUAAAACAGUAUUGUCAUUAAUGUAGACAAAAACAAAAUGCAACAGUUAAAUUUGGUACAAAUUAACAAAUAACUCUGUUUCAUCCAAUGCUUUCCACAAAGUCAAGGUGAGAUUACAUUUUCACUCUGAAUUCUUAAAUUUGCAGUGCAUCCAAAAUGAGUUUCAGUUGUGUUCUUCCUCCAAUGGGUAAAACUGUCCAUAGUGCUGAAAAAAUGCCUAGCAUUCUGUUGGUGAAAUAUGAUGGCAUAAGUUAGGUGCCACUGCAAUGCACUCUUUGGGUCAUUGCAGAAAUAUGAAGUCACUUACCAACUGCAAAACAAUCAAAUUACCCCCUGCAAGCCAUCUAUUUUCUCAGUGCAUUCUCCCCAUGCCAUGGACCCAGCCAUUUACUUGUUGAUGGACAGGAGAGGGAACAACAUACAAGCAUCUAGCUGUUUUCCUAUAGUUGGAGGCAGACUAAUGACAUCAUCCACAGCUGGAUGCAGAGUAAUGCCUACAGUUGCCUGAGCCUUCUCACAACUACAUCACAUUGGCUUCAGUGUGGCUAAAUCAACUACAGAUUCAGCUAAAGAAUACUGUGUAAAAAAAAAAAACCUCCACAUUCCAAUUCUGUUAUAGAUGCUUUUAUGGGCCCAGAAAUGACAACAUGCUGAGAAGCAAGCAAACAGCAGCAAAUUUUGUCAAUUUGCUUACAGCACAUUAUUUGUUUUUCAACAAAACGAUCGAUUGCCAGUUGCAGCCUGAGGUUAACUGUUCUUUUUUUUUCUUUCUUUUUUGAAGAAUAGCCGUUUUGACUGAAAUUAUAUUGUUUAUUUUGUGCAGCUAGAAUAGAAAAAGGCAUAGCACUCUUUCACCAAACCUCAUGGUGCCUGCUUGAAAUCACACAACACAGACACUGCUCAGGCUUCAUAACAUGUAUGCACACAGGGUAUCCAUGCUGCCUUUUGUCACGAUGUAUUGUGAGCCAUUCAUGGACAGCUACUCCCCAUGCAGAAAAUCUAGUUUUUAUUCCUCCACAUGCAUUCACAUUUAAAGAGAAAUUUGUAGUGAAGUGGAAACGGCUGAGGUUUCAUGUGGUGAGAAAGAACAAGACAUCCAUUCUUGCAAAAAUUUGUUCCUUGCCAGCUCAAAUGCCCAAACAUAUCUGUAUUAUCUAGCUAAAGCACAGUUAGGUAGUGGAAGAGAAGCGGAAAGUAGAAAUAGAUAAUUUCUCAUUUUUAACAGCUUCUUUUACUGGUACCAUGGAGGCCAUUUAAUUCCUACUGACCAGAAAUGACUAGUCAUUUACAAGUGUGGCCCGGGCUGUGGUGCAGGCUGGUGAGCAAGCCAGCUGCCAGCUGUAACAAAUCACUCUGACCAAGAGGUCAUGAGUUCGAGGCCAGCUCGGAGCCUGUGUUUGUCUUGUCUUUGUUCUAUGUUAAGGCAUUGAAUGUUUGCCUAAUAUGUGUAAUGUGAACCGCCCUGAGUCCCCUUCGGGGUGAGAAGGGUGGAAUAUAAAUACUGUAAAUAAAUAAAUAAGUGUGAACUGUUGGUCACUCAGCAUAGGGAGCAGCCCUUGCCACAUGGAUGGGUAGUUGUGAGAUGAUGCAGAAAUGCAUUGCUCUUCCAGGAGACUUUGGAUACACUUCUGUCUUGACAUUCUCCACCCCACCUCAAUUUCAUUUAUUUUGUUUAUAACAUCCUCUAGGGAGUGGAGAAGCAAAAGUGACAAUGAUUGUGUAAUCAUUGUGCAAGUGAUUGCGUAAUCUUUUAAAAAUAAGUAGUAGUUCCAGCUAGGUCAGAAAAACAAGAUCAGAACUGUAUUGGGGGGGGGGCUCUAUCUUUAAUUCUGAGCCAAAAUUUCAGUAUUAACUGGGAAUCCUAGGGGGGGGGAUCCUUCCUUGUGCCAUUAUCCUUAUCCCACCCAUUUCUUCCACUUAAGGCUGCUAUUAGUUUUCUUGGUAAUCAAACAGAGGCUUAUAAUAUAAUUGGCAAAAUUCCUGGAGACCCUCAGUAUAAAACACCUUUAUCUUCUUAUGUGUCCAGUGUUUUAAUAUCCUCUGUGGUAAUCCAGACUAGCAAAAUAUGCAGUAGAAAGUAUAAGAUAAGAAUUACCUUGAGGAUAAUUGGAAGCUGAGGUGGUGUUUCUGAAAUUCAUCCCAGGAUCAAAAAACAUUUUUAUGUGAGUGGGACUGAAGUUUGAGGAAACUUAAGCAUUUCUUUUGAUUUGGUCUAAAUGGCAAAGGGGAGAUGAAAAACUAGUAGACUCAGCUUUUUUCCAUUCAGUUGAUUUGGUUCACUUUUCCUGUGGAAUUUGGUUUGCCACCACUGUGGAAGUUUCCUCAUUGUGUAUCAGCUAUAGUCUAUACAAAUCAUACUUUUCUUGAAAAGAUGAUGCCUCUAUUUUAGACCAAUUAGUCUGUCUAAAUACAGGAACAGCUGUUCGAUACAAAUGCAUGCCCUUGACAAAAUAUUUACAGUUAUCACUUUCUAGUAAGCUUUUUCCUUCAGUUCCAUUCUCUCAUUUAGCUCUAUUUAAUUAACUAUAGUCAAAAUAGGUUGCCUUUCAGGCAAACCUGUUAUGUUAUCUCAUCUACUCCUUUCUGACCUUUCAAAUACCGUAUGAAAGUUCUAAAUUGUCUUGUCUUUUUGGAUCAGGUGUUAUGUUUCAGCAUAUUGAGGCAGGAGAAAGAAAAAGGUCAAUCAAUGUACUUUUUAUAAAUGAUUUACAUUAUAGUUGUGUCAUUUAAUUUAAUAAUUCACUUAUUAAUAUUAUUAAUAUUAGUAUUUAGGAAAUAUCAUAUUUAGAAAAUCUAAGCCAUUAGUGACUUAUGGAUGUCUUUGGGCAAGUCACAUUAUCUCAGCCUCAGAGAAAAGCAGUGGCAAACCUCUUCUAAAUUAACCUUGCCUUAGGUCAGAAAUGACUUGAAGGCACACAGUAACAGCUUACACAAAUUUAAUUGCCUUUGUACUCCAUCCAAAAAAAGAACCCAUCCCUAGCUGUGAUCAAGCAUCUGGAGCAUCUUCUACUUACUCAUGAAAAGAACAGUGGAGAGAAGAGGAGCCAAUUCAGACCAUGAAAAUCUGGCUGUACUGUGCUUGCAGGGGAAGAAAAAUGUGGUUACACUCAAUUGAGAGCAGGCUGUCAUUGACACACCCCGCUCACAGGAAAAUUUAGUCCAGCUAGAUCAAUUGGAUUCAAUUGUUAAGUGACAACAGCAGCAGCUCCUCCUAGGAUUUGAGAAUUGUCACAUAGUAGGAAAGCAGGGCACUGCACCCAUGGACCUAUGCAAAGAUUGAUUGCAUUACAGUUUUAUCUCUCACUCCAUGGCUACAAAGGCUUUUCACAGCAGCCUACAAAUUGUUACUUUGAUAGUGCCCUGCCCUCAGGUUUGCAAUCUAAAUAAGUCUGUAUGUUGUUGAGCCAUGGCACCUCCAUCCCAAAUUAUUUAUGGACAUGAAUGAGACUUCAAGCAAGAAAUAUGAAUUUUCCUUUAUUUUAAAAAUAUUUCCACUCUUUUGACAUUUCGCAAUAAUGAAAGGACUCAGCAGCAAUUGUUUUUAAGGAAUAGAAUAGUUGCCUAUGUGUAAAACCGCCUUGAGUCCUCUCUGGGGUAGAGAAAGGCGGGGUAGAAAUGUCAUAAAUAAAUAUAUACCCCAAACUAUAUUAUACCAAAACUCUUAAUCUAUCUAUCUAUCUAUCUAUAUCUAUAUAUAUAAAAGGAUAAAGUUGUGGGCACCGUGACUAUAACAACACAACUAUACGCCCCAGAACCACCAAACUUGACAACACGACGGAAAAGCCUUGCCUCCAGGUUCAUACAACAAAAAAACACAACAGGAACCUAAAAAGGGGUUAAAAAACCCAAAAAAAGGCAACAAACCAUCUGCGCCUGCGCCAAAAGCGAACCUGCGCGCGGACAGAACAACCCCCACCCCACCUCUCAACGGCCGCACCUGCCCCCGACGCUGCUGCUGCCAUCUUGCCGAACAGCCCCGAGUCACCACGUGCCAGGAGUAGGAAAAAGGCAGCCCCCACGGCUGGCCGCUCUGCCUAGGCGAGCCUGGGAAUUCCAUUUAGGCCUAAAGGGGCGGGUCUACUCACAGCAAGUCGAGCCAGUGGUGAGGUCCUGGACCUCGAUGCCGGGGUAGCCCUCGCACUGCCGGCGGCAACAGGCCUGCAGGGCGCUGUGCCAGCCCAACAUGGGCUCAAGCCUCCCAGUUGCCUCUCCUGGCUCACCCCUCACCACCCUGGGGGAGGGGGAAGCCGACUGGAGACCAAACUGGAUAGUCAAACUCUGGGCCUCCCGGCCCUCUGGAUGCGAGGGGGGGGCGGCCGCGGGGCUCCUCGGUCACUUCUUCCCGCACCGCCGCCAUCACCCGUCCUCCAAACCCCGAGAAGGAGCACGCCCCACACCACCCGGAGAUUAAGAGCCCACAGGCACACUGAGGAAAGAUAUGAAAAUUGACAGCUGUGAGUGUGAUACACUUGUUGGUGGUCCAAGUCUCUCAGGGCUGUGGAAAAGGCAAAAUGAGGAGGAGGAGGAGGAGGAGGAGAAGGACCAGCAUGGAAGCUGCAUCCAUGAUACUGCAAAACUCACAAUCUCUACUGUCCAGACUCAUAUCUUUACUUAACAAGAAGCAGACUCCACUGAACACAGUAGGACUUAUUUCCAGCAAGCAAAAGCAAGGAACCUCUCCUGGAACUGUUUGAAAUUUGAUUGCCACAACAAGAGCUCAAGAAUUUUGAAAUCAGGUACAUCUUUCCAAAGAGGACAGAGUAAAAGAUGGAAUCUAACUGCACCAGCCUGAAAACAGUUGGGUUCCAGAAGAAGAAAAAAGGACAAAGUUGUUUCCUCUAUCAUUUCAAGUGUACAGAAGCCAAGCAGAAAGCCAGAAGCAGACUGUUUUCUGACAAACUUGAAGCCACCAGACUAGUUUGGAGGAUGUAGGGAACCCACUAUGUGAUUUCGGGGAAGUCAAGCUCUCUCAACCUUGGAGGAAGGCAAAGGCAAACCUUACAAUAAAUCUUUCCAAGACCA